RNAcentral lists this ribosomal RNA (321 nucleotides) under uncultured bacterium. RNAcentral's name for it is "partial 16S ribosomal RNA". It matches the Rfam family "Bacterial small subunit ribosomal RNA", at positions 355 to 692 of the family's 1533-position model. The record is from RNAcentral.
UGGGGAAUAUUGGACAAUGGGGGGCAACCCUGAUCCAGCAAUGCCGCGUGUGUGAAGAAGGUCUUCGGAUUGUAAAGCACUUUCGACGGGGACGAUGAUGACGGUACCCGUAGAAGAAGCCCCGGCUAACUUCGUGCCAGCAGCCGCGGUAAUACGAAGGGGGCUAGCGUUGCUCGGAAUGACUGGGCGUAAAGGGCGUGUAGGCGGUUUACACAGUCAGAUGUGAAAUCCCCGGGCUUAACCUGGGAGCUGCAUUUGAUACGUGUAGACUAGAGUGUGAGAGAGGGUUGUGGAAUUCCCAGUGUAGAGGUGAAAUUCGUA